RNAcentral lists this ribosomal RNA (486 nucleotides) under uncultured bacterium. Its description in RNAcentral is "partial 16S ribosomal RNA". It matches the Rfam family "Bacterial small subunit ribosomal RNA", at positions 30 to 507 of the family's 1533-position model. The record is from RNAcentral.
AUUGAACGCUGGCGGCAUGCCUUACACAUGCAAGUCGAACGGCAGCACGGGUGCUUGCACCUGGUGGCGAUUGGCGAACGGGUGAGUAAUACAUCGGAACAUGUCCUGUAGUGGGGGAUAGCCCGGCGAAAGCCGGAUUAAUACCGCAUACGAUCUACGGAUGAAAGCGGGGGACCUUCGGGCCUCGCGCUACAGGGUUGGCCGAUAGCUGAUUAGCUAGUUGGUGGGGUAAAGGCCUACCAAGGCGACGAUCAGUAGCUGGUCUGAGAGGACGACCAGCCACACUGGGACUGAGACACGGCCCAGACUCCUACGGGAGGCAGCAGUGGGGAAUUUUGGACAAUGGGCGAAAGCCUGAUCCAGCAAUGCCGCGUGUGUGAAGAAGGCCUUCGGGUUGUAAAGCACUUUUGUCCGGAAAGAAAUCCUUGGCUCUAAUACAGUCGGGGGAUGACGGUACCGGAAGAAUAAGCACCGGCUAACUACGUG